This 253-nucleotide ribosomal RNA is filed under the name uncultured bacterium. RNAcentral describes it as "partial 16S ribosomal RNA". It matches the Rfam family "Bacterial small subunit ribosomal RNA", at positions 524 to 776 of the family's 1533-position model. The record is from RNAcentral.
UACGAAGGGGGCUAGCGUUGUUCGGAAUCACUGGGCGUAAAGCGCACGCAGGCGGAUUGAUAAGUCGGGGGUGAAAUCCCGGGGCUCAACCUCGGAAUUGCCUUCGAUACUGUCUGUCUUGAGUCCGGGAGAGGUGAGUGGAAUUCCUAGUGUAGAGGUGAAAUUCGUAGAUAUUAGGAAGAACACCAGUAGCGAAGGCGGCUCACUGGCCCGGUACUGACGCUCAUGUGCGAAAGCGUGGGGAGCAAACAGG